GAAGCGUGGUAUAACGGUUAGCAUAGCUGCCUUCCAAGCAGUUGACCCGGGUUGGACUCCCGGCCCCGACG
RNAcentral lists this transfer RNA (71 nucleotides) under Trichonephila clavipes. RNAcentral's name for it is "tRNA-Gly". The stretch from base 6 to 64 matches the Rfam family "tRNA", at positions 7 to 64 of the family's 71-position model. Rfam says of the family: Transfer RNA (tRNA) molecules are approximately 80 nucleotides in length. Lineage: Eukaryota; Metazoa; Arthropoda; Arachnida; Araneae; Nephilidae. The record is from RNAcentral.